RNAcentral lists this ribosomal RNA (266 nucleotides) under uncultured bacterium. RNAcentral's name for it is "partial 16S ribosomal RNA". It matches the Rfam family "Bacterial small subunit ribosomal RNA", at positions 91 to 354 of the family's 1533-position model. The record is from RNAcentral.
CUUAGUGGCGGACGGGUGAGUAACGCGUGGGGAACCUGCCCUGUACAGGGGGAUAACACUUAGAAAUAGGUGCUAAUACCGCAUAAGCGCACAGUGUCGCAGUGAAUACAGUGUGAAAAACUCCGGUGGUACAGGAUGGACCCGCGUCUGAUUAGCUGGUUGGCGGGGUAACGGCCUACCAAGGCGACGAUCAGUAGCCGGCCUGAGAGGGUCGGACGGCCACAUUGGGACUGAGACACGGCCCAAACUCCUACGGGAGGCAGCAG